AGUCGAGCGGAGAUGAGGUGCUUGCACCUUAUCUUAGCGGCGGACGGGUGAGUAAUGCUUAGGAAUCUGCCUAUUAGUGGGGGACAACAUUCCGAAAGGAAUGCUAAUACCGCAUACGUCCUACGGGAGAAAGCAGGGGAUCUUCGGACCUUGCGCUAAUAGAUGAGCCUAAGUCGGAUUAGCUAGUUGGUGGGGUAAAGGCCUACCAAGGCAGAUCUGUAGCGGGUCUGAGAGGAUGAUCCGCCACACUGGGACUGAGACACGGCCCAGACUCCUACGGGAGGCAGCAGUGGGGAAUAUUGGACAAUGGGGGGAACCCUGAUCCAGCCAUGCCGCGUGUGUGAAGAAGGCCUUAUGGUUGUAAAGCACUUUAAGCGAGGAGGAGGCUACUAAGACUAAUACUCUUGGAUAGUGGACGUUACUCGCAGAAUAAGCACCGGCUAACUCUGUGCCAGCAGCCGCGGUAAUACAGAGGGUGCGAGCGUUAAUCGGAUUUACUGGGCGUAAAGCGUGCGUAGGCGGCUUUUUAAGUCGGAUGUGAAAUCCCCGAGCUUAACUUGGGAAUUGCAUUCGAUACUGGGAAGCUAGAGUAUGGGAGAGGAUGGUAGAAUUCCAGGUGUAGCGGUGAAAUGCGUAGAGAUCUGGAGGAAUACCGAUGGCGAAGGCAGCCAUCUGGCCUAAUACUGACGCUGAGGUACGAAAGCAUGGGGAGCAAACAGGAUAGAUACCCUGGUAGUCCAUGCCGUAAACGAUGUCUACUAGCCGUUGGGGCCUUUGAGGCUUUAGUGGCGCAGCUAACGCGAUAAGUAGACCGCCUGGGGAGUACGGUCGCAAGACUAAAACUCAAAUGAAUUGACGGGGGCCCGCACAAGCGGUGGAGCAUGUGGUUUAAUUCGAUGC
This 900-nucleotide ribosomal RNA is filed under the name uncultured Acinetobacter sp. RNAcentral's name for it is "bacterial SSU rRNA". It matches the Rfam family "Bacterial small subunit ribosomal RNA", at positions 60 to 957 of the family's 1533-position model. The record is from RNAcentral. Lineage: Bacteria; Pseudomonadati; Pseudomonadota; Gammaproteobacteria; Moraxellales; Moraxellaceae.